RNAcentral lists this ribosomal RNA (1140 nucleotides) under Candidatus Udaeobacter sp. RNAcentral's name for it is "bacterial SSU rRNA". It matches the Rfam family "Bacterial small subunit ribosomal RNA", at positions 1 to 1124 of the family's 1533-position model. Lineage: Bacteria; Pseudomonadati; Verrucomicrobiota; Spartobacteria; Chthoniobacterales; Chthoniobacteraceae. The record is from RNAcentral.
UACGGAGAGUUUGAUUCUGGCUCAGAACGAACGCUGGCGGCGUGGAUAAGACAUGCAAGUCGAGCGAGAUUUUUUUCUGUAGCAAUACAGGGAAAAGUCUAGCGGCGAACGUGCGUAACACGUGGGCAACCUGCCAGAAGUGGGGAUAGCUCGCCGAAAGGCGAAUUAAUACCGCAUGUGAUCAGAGUGGACAUCCAUUCAAAAUCAAAGUCGGGCAACCUGACGCUUCUUGAGGGCCCGCGGCCUAUCAGCUAGUUGUGAGGUAACGGCCCACCAAGGCUUAGACGGGUAGCUGGUCUGAGAGGACGACCAGUCACACUGGGACUGAGACACGGCCCAGACACCUACGGGUGGCAGCAGUCGAGAAUUUUUCUCAAUGGGGGAAACCCUGAAGGAGCGACGCCGCGUGGAGGAUGAAGGUCUUCGGGUUGUAAACUCCUGUCAUUUGGGAACAAUGCGCAAAUAUUAACUGUAUUUGCGUUGAUAGUACCAGAAGAGGAAGGGACGGCUAACUCUGUGCCAGCAGCCGCGGUAAUACAGAGGUCUCAAGCGUUGUUCGGAUUCAUUGGGCGUAAAGGGUGCGUAGGCGGCGCGGUAAGUCGGGUGUGAAAUCUCGGGGCUUAACUCCGAAACUGCAUUCGAUACUGCCGUGCUUGAGGACUGGAGAGGAGACUGGAAUUUACGGUGUAGCGGUGAAAUGCGUAGAUAUCGUAAGGAAGACCAGUGGCGAAGGCGGGUCUCUGGACAGUUCCUGACGCUGAGGCACGAAGGCCAGGGGAGCAAACGGGAUUAGAUACCCCGGUAGUCCUGGCAGUAAACGGUGCACGUUUGGUGUGGGAGGAUUCGACCCCUUCUGCGCCGGAGCUAACGCGUUAAACGUGCCGCCUGGGGAGUACGGUCGCAAGAUUAAAACUCAAAGAAAUUGACGGGGGCCCGCACAAGCGGUGGAGUAUGUGGCUCAAUUCGAUGCAACGCGAAGAACCUUACCUGGCCUUGACAUGCAUCUCUAAGUUGGUGAAAGCCAGCGAGUCCCGAAAGGGACAAUUUGCACAGGUGCUGCAUGGCUGUCGUCAGCUCGUGUCGUGAGAUGUUGGGUUAAGUCCCGCAACGAGCGCAACCCCUGUGAACUGUUGCCACCGA